UACGGAGGGGGCUAGCGUUGUUCGGAAUUACUGGGCGUAAAGCGCACGUAGGCGGCUUUGUAAGUUAGAGGUGAAAGCCCGGAGCUCAACUCCGGAAUUGCCUUUAAGACUGCAUCGCUCGAAUCAUGGAGAGGUGAGUGGAAUUCCGAGUGUAGAGGUGAAAUUCGUAGAUAUUAGGAAGAACACCAGUGGCGAAGGCGGCUCACUGGCCCGGUACUGACGCUGAGGCGCGAAAGCGUGGGGAGCAAACAGG
This 253-nucleotide ribosomal RNA is filed under the name uncultured bacterium. RNAcentral describes it as "partial 16S ribosomal RNA". It matches the Rfam family "Bacterial small subunit ribosomal RNA", at positions 524 to 776 of the family's 1533-position model. The record is from RNAcentral.